UACGUAGGGUGCAAGCGUUAUCCGGAAUCACUGGGUUUAAAGGGUGCGUAGGUGGGAUAUUAAGUGAGUGGUGAAAGCUUCCGGCUUAACCGGGAAAUUGCCAUUCAUACUGAUAACCUUGAGUACAGUUGAGGCGGGCGGAAUGUGUCAUGUAGCGGUGAAAUGCUUAGAUAUGACACAGAACACCGAUUGCGAAGGCAGCUCGCUAACCUGUAACUGACACUGAGGCACGAAAGCGUGGGGAUCAAACAGG
Molecule: ribosomal RNA, 253 nt
Filed under: uncultured bacterium
Lineage: Bacteria
Description: partial 16S ribosomal RNA
Rfam family: Bacterial small subunit ribosomal RNA
Source: RNAcentral